ACUCCUACGGGAGGCAGCAGUGGGGAAUUUUGGACAAUGGGCGAAAGCCUGAUCCAGCAAUGCCGCGUGUGUGAAGAAGGCCUUCGGGUUGUAAAGCACUUUUGUCCGGAAAGAAAUCCUUGGCUCUAAUACAGUCGGGGGAUGACGGUACCGGAAGAAUAAGCACCGGCUAACUACGUGCCAGCAGCCGCGGUAAUACGUAGGGUGCGAGCGUUAAUCGGAAUUACUGGGCGUAAAGCGUGCGCAGGCGGUUUGCUAAGACCGAUGUGAAAUCCCCGGGCUCAACCUGGGAACUGCAUUGGUGACUGGCAGGCUAGAGUAUGGCAGAGGGGGGUAGAAUUCCACGUGUAGCAGUGAAAUGCGUAGAGAUGUGGAGGAAUACCGAUGGCGAAGGCAGCCCCCUGGGCCAAUACUGACGCUCAUGCACGAAAGCGUGGGGAGCAAACAGGAUUAGAAACCCGAGUAGUCCC
This 470-nucleotide ribosomal RNA is filed under the name uncultured organism. RNAcentral describes it as "partial 16S ribosomal RNA". It matches the Rfam family "Bacterial small subunit ribosomal RNA", at positions 335 to 797 of the family's 1533-position model. The record is from RNAcentral.